This 208-nucleotide long non-coding RNA is filed under the name Gossypium barbadense (sea-island cotton). RNAcentral's name for it is "long non-coding RNA (GBAR_LNC016492)". Lineage: Eukaryota; Viridiplantae; Streptophyta; Magnoliopsida; Malvales; Malvaceae. The record is from RNAcentral.
GAAUCGAGUUAUUCGAGUUAAUCGAGUUAUUCGAAUCAACUCGAAUUUUUUUUUUCGAAUUUCGAGUUCGAAUCGAGUUGAGUUUUCGAAUUCGAAUAACUCGAAUAAUUUGAAUAAUUCGAAUAUCAAACUAUAAUAUUUUACAUUUUUACCCCAAAUUCCCAAACCUUUUUACUUUUCCCUCAAAACUUUUACUCCUUCCCACUUU